Long non-coding RNA from Scophthalmus maximus (turbot), 4350 nucleotides. RefSeq lists it as uncharacterized. Lineage: Eukaryota; Metazoa; Chordata; Actinopteri; Pleuronectiformes; Scophthalmidae. The transcript is spliced from 3 exons. The record is from RefSeq and is a predicted model, not a curated record.
AAGCCCAAACAGGCAGGAGUAGUUUGCCUAGACCUUUCUUUUUCCCCCCUCUAGUUUACUGAGUCUCAAACAGACAGUGGCUGGCUUGUUUGCCCUGAACAGAUGAUUGAUUUUGUGUCAUGCUGGCCCUGCUGUCAACUGCUCUCUCUCCCCCACUCCUCUUAUAGCUCUCACUUGGCCUUUGUUCUCCAUUGUGCGACUUUCAUCCCUGGUCUGGUCCGGGUCCAUUCAGACAGCUGGACAUUAUUGUGUUAAUGGCGGGCCAUGUUGCGUUCCCAGAAUGCUCAACCACUCAGUACAACUGCAGCCUCAUCGCUGUGCGACUUGUAGCUUCAUCCAGUGACGAUGUAACUCAGCAACAUGCCCUUUGAAAUACAGUAUGAAUUUGUUAUUGUGGACCCAGAUCUUUGCAUCAUAUCUUCACGUCAUUUGUUUACCUCCACGUCUCCAGCCUGUUUAUAUUUGUGUGCAGUUGCCCUAAACAGUUGGCGGGUGCCUCAGUCUGAUCCCGGCUUGCACCAGGAGUGAUUCAGCUGGCUGUGCAGCAGCCAUAUCUGUUUCAUAGAGGUUUUGUGUUUUUGUAAGUGUUGCGGAGAAAUGGCUUGUCCCAAGCACAGAACGCAAUUUAGAUUAGAGUGUGAUGUUGUUUUUCUUCUGUAUGGUGCUUCCACUUGGCUACUUGUAUAUUUUUGCUUGGUAUGUUUUUUCUCACCCUGACUGUGAUCAACUGUUAUGUCACCAUCACUAGGUGAAACCAUUGUGAAUCAUAUUAUAAUGUGUAAAUAAUCAACCUACUGUGGACAUUCAAAUACCUGUGCUUAAGUCUGCCUUUCUGAUAAACACACUAUCACACUACACUGUUGCGCCAGCCGUAUGUUUACCAUUUGUGACACAUAAAGCAGGCAACUUGACAGUGGCCAAUUUUUAGUAUAAAGUCUGUUUGUUGCCUAUCUGAUAUUGUAAAAGUGUUUGGGUGAGUGUGAAAUUAGAUCUACAAUGAGCUUUGAUUUCUCCCAAGCCGCAUAUCCCAUUUGUCUUAAAGCCAAGCUCUAUUGAUCUGCCUGCUCUUCAUCUUCAGUUUCCUCCCGCUGUAGCUCAACCCACAUCGCGCUGGUGGGGAUCAGCAGAUAUAUUCAUAUCGUGCCUUGAACAGCAAGCAUGUGUGCGGGGGCAGACUGAGGGGGCUGGUGUAAUGUCAUUGGACUGGAUGUGUUGUGGAGGUCUGGCGAAAGCACACGUGGACACUGUAUGAGUGUGGUGCAGUUCAAACCCCCAAAAAUUUAGUUUUUAUGCUCAUGUCAUCAGUCACCUUUAAGCUUUAUGUGGAAAAGACAUCUUGACUUAUUUGCCCUGUUUGGCUUUGAUAGACACCCUUCCUUCUACUAGUCAGCUACUUAUUGUAUUCAAUGUGGUAGUGACCGUAGUAAUGGCUGAUUAAACCCUAUGUGCACAAUGCACACAUUUAACAGGAAUAGCACGUCAUCGCAUCACAUAAUAUUACUUACAUUGUUGAACCCAAUAAACCACACUGGUAAAUACAAGAAGGGAGUCAGUGUUGCUUGCAGUGGCAUGAAAGAAAUAAACUAACAUUGUAACUAGUCACUUGCUCUAUUAUUACAAUAUUGCAGAGAGUAUGAAAUGUCUUUAUUAUUAUCUGAAGUGGAAACAAUCAGUCAAGGUAUGAGUUCAUGAUCCAAGUAACAAGAUAGAUCCUUAUUUGUUCUAGUUUAUUAUUUGAGUGCUGACAAUUGAUAAAACAUUUUUUACAAAUUAAUUGCACAAUUUGCUGUGAUUAAUUGCGAUUAAUCACCUUUUUCUUCUUAAGACUGAAGUUUGUAAUAAUGGAUAAAUGUAAAAUGAUGGAAUUAAUAUAGAAUCAACACAAAGGAAGUAUUUAAAUUCAAAUACUUUUGUUUAAUAGCAUCUUUUUAACUUAGCACAGAUUCUCUCCUGUGAACUACAGAUUUCCAGUAAAACCAUCAAGGCCAAAGUGAGUCAAGGAGGCCUCUCUGACAUCUUUCAGAUAUCUAGCAGCUAAAUAUCUGGACACGUCCGGGAACCUUCUCCUGUGUGAGCUGUGAUGUGAUAGGCAGUCAGUGUGUCAACCUGAAAACGUGGGGGGGGGGGGGCUGUAGCACAACAACACAAGACACUUGCCUUGUCUGUGUUUCUGGAAACAAAUCAUUGUGCAGACUAUAUGCAGGGCUUUUUUCUCUCAUUUUCAUUGCAACUAGGCAUGUGCUGGUAUGAGAUUUUGACGGUAUGAUAACCUUGGGCAAAAUGUGGUUUCACAUUAUCGUGCACCUUAAAUGUGCUAUUGUGAAAAUCUCUGGGUAAAAUAAAAAAAGAAAUAUUAUAACAUUUGGAACAUUAGUAAAUGUUGUUUGCUAACAUAUAGAACAUAAUUGAUUUUUUUUCUUGAAAAAAACCCACGUCUAGAUGAAAUUAAAAUAAAUGCAGUCUCUUAAGUGUUGUUGAUGGCGAUUAUUUGACUGCUCUGUACUGCUUGUGUUGGAGACGGUUGUUCUUCUGCACAUUACGCGACCUGGGGGAUUCCACUGCAGUUUUUGGUUCCUUAGUGAGGAUAUAUGUAAACACUGGUGGUGGAGAAGAGAGACGGGGUGAGGAGCACCAGCAGUGCUAGGUGCAUCAUUAGCACAGCUGCGGUGAGUCGCUAAUCAAGCUGCAGCAGCCGGUGUUUUUUUCCCAGAUUUUCCGUCCAGACCGUAGUGUAGUCGGGAAGCACCGUCUCGUUCCAAUUCUCCGAGGCGUCUUCUUUAAACUAAUGGCGCUGGGGCAUUUAUUACAGUGAGACAGACUGCAACCGGCACUGCACGUUAGCACAUUAGCCAAACAAACGGCUCACCGCUCCGCUCGCUCUCUCUCUCUCUCUCUCGCUUGCUCGUACAACACUGGGCAGCGCAGCGCACGGGAAUUAGAAGACUGUUCAUACCGUCUGGACGGUUUGAAAGGAAUUUGUGAUUAGUGGUUAGUGGUUUCGGAACCGUGGCCUUUUGAUACCGUGGUUUACAUGUAGGACCAUGACGUCACAACGCAAUGCAUUGUAGGGUAUUAGGAUACGGAAGUUCUGUAGAGAACAGAGUUGUGAUGUAGCAACUGGUGUGUAGUGGAUAGUGGUUGUUUGAUUUACGAUCACUAUUGUUGUAUGUGAUUUGGUUACUGCUAAACAUUGCUAAUCGCGAUUAGCCAAAACGCUAACUAAUUUCAUCACAACUAGCUGGCUGCAUUGCUACAUAGAUUAAAGAAAUUAUGUCUGGGGGGUUUUCCUGCAAACACAGCAGGUAGUUCACACCGGGGGUCCCUGUGGAGAGGGCGAUAUCCAGAAUCUAUUCCCGUUUCGCGUGUGUAUUUUCGUGAUAAACGUCCUUUAAACUCCUUACACUCCUUCCUUGUCUGUAUCCAUCUUUAACCAGGAUGGUUGGUUAUGCCCCACAUGUCGUCACACAGGUCAGCUGCCACAGGAAUUAAAUUUAAUGCGUCAACGAUUUAAAAUUUGUUUAAUGCGAUAAAUAUUUCACAAUUAAAGGUAGGGUAGCCGAUUUUUGUGAGAAGCACUUCGUCAUAUUACUUGAAAGUCUCGUAACAUACCGAUAGCGAUGAAUUCAUUGAAUGAUCUGACACUGAAAGGAAAAAAAUCUCUCAUCUGUGGCCAAGGGAUGACUUUAAAAACCACAACCAAUAAGAAAGUUUGGUCCGGAGAAAAUGAUUGGAUGAACCGGCUUUCUCCCUGCCUGCGCGCACUCCGCUCGUUCACCACACCGUGGGGUGCUUGAUCAGUCACCUGCACCGGAAACAAACGGAGCUGCAGAGCUAUAGCUACAGCUUGCAGACGAGCUGCUACACUGAAUUAAAGAAGAAAAGAGUUGCAGAAUGGCAGAGAAAGUACCUACAACAGCUUCCGGUCGCAACAGAAAGACAGCAGUUGGAUACUACGAGGAGUAAAAAGAGUAAACAUCGGUGUGACUCUUCAACGCUGGCGUCAACUCAGUGAGGAGAAGAGGGUGAAAGGUACGGCAAGUUGUACAUGAAGCAGUCCAGGACCUGGAGGUUACACACUGAAGGUUGUCUGCCAUGGACCAGAGCAACGAGACCAGACGAUCCCCGUCAACAGCUAGAGAAGCAAGUCAGCAGAGGGCCAGGACCACUGCCUAAGAGUCGACGACAGCACAGGCUGACCAGUCAGCCGACAGACCUUCUUUGACACUAAAGAGCUAGUAAACCCUGUGCAGACAGUUUAUACAUUUUUGUACAUAUGUUGUUUUUGUUAAUAUUAUAAUAUAUAUUUGUUACAUUAUAUGAUGUUCCAAAAAAUAAACAGGUGUCAUGACA